Molecule: non-coding RNA, 31 nt
Filed under: Actinoplanes sp. SE50/110
Lineage: Bacteria; Bacillati; Actinomycetota; Actinomycetes; Micromonosporales; Micromonosporaceae
Source: RNAcentral
CGGUACCCGGUCGUGAGGAGUUUGUUCAUGG